Molecule: long non-coding RNA, 429 nt
Filed under: Mytilus galloprovincialis (Mediterranean mussel)
Lineage: Eukaryota; Metazoa; Mollusca; Bivalvia; Mytilida; Mytilidae
Source: RNAcentral
GAAAAUUAAAAAAUGAAUGUUAUGAAUCCUUUGGUUUCUAGUACAACAAUGUUGUUCUUUAAAAAGUGUUUCUCAAAAAUAUUUCUUAUACAUCUUGCAUCACACAAGUAUUCAUACAGAAUAGUCAUAUAAUGUUUUAUACUGUAUAAGGUCAACUUUACUGUUUAAACUCUUAAGUAAAUUCCUUCUGUGAAGAUACAUCUUUCAUUUUUUUCUCGUUUCAACCUUUAUUCAGACAUUAUGUAGCAUGUUAUUAAUAAAGUGACCGAUAAAGACAAAAGAGUAAUAAGUUGUCUAACAGAUAACAUUUUAUACAUUAUUCCUUAUUCAAUACAUUCUUUUUAGGCCACACCAAUUUGAUUCCUUGUUCGACGGACCCGCCCGCACCUAUUUUUUUCAAAACAGAAUUUUUUUAUUUUUUUAUAUUCC